This 1010-nucleotide long non-coding RNA is filed under the name Monodelphis domestica (gray short-tailed opossum). Its description in RNAcentral is "lncRNA (ENSMODG00000036357.2)". The record is from RNAcentral. Lineage: Eukaryota; Metazoa; Chordata; Mammalia; Didelphimorphia; Didelphidae.
AGAUGGCUCAUUUUCUUGAUAUAACCAGAAUCACAUGAAAAAAUCUAAACCUCUCUGGCAUUACAUAGUACAGAGUGUUUUAUUAGCUGCAGGGGUCCCCUUAGUGCCACUAGGAAAUCCAUACGAAGAUGGAAGUCAGAAGACUAAAAUAACAAUAAUAAUUCUUUGCAGUGACAUGGCAUCUUUCAUCUGAAGAACUCAAAGCACUUAGCAGAUGUUAUACCCAUUAAAGCGAUGUGGCAAGCAUUAUUCUCCCCAGAAUACAGAUGGAGAGAGGGGGGACCAUACCACUGUCAUUCAGACUAAAACUGGAAUAAACAUUUAAUUAUCUUUGAGAGGAAAUCUUUCUAGCGUAACCCUUUCCUUCUGCAGUUUCUUAUUCCCACUGAGUGAAUGGGACAGGUCACAUCCUUCAGGCUGGUAUGUCUACUGCAGGUAUCCAAACAUUGUAAUGAAAUCACCUCCCUUUCUUUAUUUCCAGACGAAACAUAUUUAACUUUGAAGUCCCUUCUUCAGAAGGUAGAGCUUCUCUUCCUUUGCUUAUCCCGUUAUUUCCCUAAAACCUGGAUGUGGUUUUCAAGACCUUAACGACUCAGGGGACCAAUCUGAGAUAGGCUAACCCCAAACCCAAGAGGGUGAUUGACAGCAACAAAGGUGAAUAUGAAGAGAAAAAUACAACGUCCAUUUGUACACCAGACUCAUUUUUGAUAACACAAGAUAGAAAGAGGAUGAUUGGGGGAAUGGUGGGAUAUGAAGUAUGGUACGUAAAUUUAAUGGAAUAUCACUGUGCCCUAAGGAAUGAUGAAUGUGAAGGAUUCAGGCAAACGCAGGAAGACUUUUAUGAAAUGAUUAUAGAAUGAAGAUGGCGGAAACAAGAAAGCCAUAUACACAAACAAACCAAGUCAACAUGGAUAGAGCAACAAAAUAUUAGUCAAAUGCAAUAGGGAAGUGUGGGGCCCUUCUGACAGAGUUAGCAAACACGUUUCUCCCCCUUCUCCUGUAGUAAUAAU